UCUGCCGUUUACGCUGCAUGAAGUUGUCUUUAUUGAUUACCAAUCACACCCACGUGUCGUCCACCUGUGUCUCGUAAGGUAAAACCUGUCUUUGUUGGCUUUAUUUAUUUAAUUUAAUUUAGCUUGUGUUUCACCCUGAACUGGAUUACCUACCGCUCCCCGUGUUACUCCCGUUUUGGAUUCAGUCUGCUGUGGAUUUUGACUGACUGGACCUGGAUCAUUAGGAGGAAUGAAGAUUGAACAGUUCUUGUUGGUAGAACAGCAGCGCACGGAUGGUCCGUACAUCACAGGAUAGACUUUGUGUAGAAAUCAGAAGUUUUGGUGGUGGCGAGGUGGAGGUUGGAGGGGUGGUGGUCUGACACUGGCAGACGACCUCUUGCUAAACAAGAACCCCACUCUAUGCUCACACCUGGUCGUCGGCCGUUCCUCCCAUCGCCCGUCACACUCUACACUCAAACCCUUACUGGUUUGCUACCGCUUGGCUAACAACUUAGCAUGGACUAAUGAUGCCAGUCGGACAUGGGCUGCUGCGUGUCAUGUUGCUGUUGGUUUUGUCCUUGGCGGGGGUGUGUUGCUUCCUAUACUUCCCAUUAGAUGCCGUCCCUUCUUUCCUCCCUCGGCAGCAGUUCUUCUUCUCUGCUGCGCGUAACUUUGGUCCUCUGCUGCACAACUUCCUUAACUUUUUUUCCUAGCGUAAAAGUCCAAUAAAGGGUCAGACAUCAUCUGCAAAUCUAAACAAGAAUGAAUGAAACUGACAGCACAGAAAAAAACGAAAAAUGUUGUAAAUAUAAGAGUGGCAUUAAUAUGUAUGCUGUUUGAAGCUGUCAACAUAAAAACACAUUUUAAAGAUGUGUAUGUAAAGGGUUUGUUUUUUUUAGAUCACAUCACUCUCUCAUCUCACAUCAGCAGUCAUGUCAUCUGGGGGGGUGGGGGGGUAUGAGGCA
Cynoglossus semilaevis (tongue sole) is the source of this 944-nucleotide long non-coding RNA. RefSeq lists it as uncharacterized. The transcript is spliced from 3 exons. The record is from RefSeq and is a predicted model, not a curated record. NCBI's taxonomy places the organism in Eukaryota, Metazoa, Chordata, Actinopteri, Pleuronectiformes, Cynoglossidae.